CGCCAGGGAAUUACGAGCCAAGCUUAAAACCCAAAGGACUUGACGGUGUCCCAACCAACUAGAGGAGCCUGUUCUGUAAUCGAUGAUCCACGUUUUACCUGACCCCCCCUUGCCCUUCAGCCUGUAUACCUCCGUCGUAAACCCGCCAUAUGAAUGUUUUCCAGCGGGUACAAUGACCCCCCCCCGUCAAUACGUCAGGUCAAGGUGCAGCCCAUGGGAGGAGGAAGUGAUGGGCUACAAUUUCUAAUCUAAAACAAACGAACUACUGCAUGAAACACAGUAUGAAGGAGGAUUUAGUAGUAAAAAGAAAAUAGCAUGUUCUUUUUAACAUGGCCCUGGGACGUGUACACACCGCCCGUCACCCUCAA
This 368-nucleotide ribosomal RNA is filed under the name Phrynoderma hexadactylum (Indian five-fingered frog). RNAcentral describes it as "partial 12S ribosomal RNA". It matches the Rfam family "Bacterial small subunit ribosomal RNA", at positions 870 to 1406 of the family's 1533-position model. The record is from RNAcentral. Lineage: Eukaryota; Metazoa; Chordata; Amphibia; Anura; Dicroglossidae.